UACAGAGGGGGCAAGCGUUAUUCGGAAUUAUUGGGCGUAAAGGGCGCGUAGGCGGCGAUUCAAGUGACGGGUGAAAUCCCUCGGCUUAACCGAGGAACUGCCUGUCAGACUGGAUUGCUUGAGGCCGGGAGAGGCGAGUGGAAUUCCCAGUGUAGCGGUGAAAUGCGUAGAGAUGUGGAGGAACACCAGUGGCGAAGGCGACUCUUUGGUCUGUAACUGACGCUGAGGCGCGAAAGCGUGGGGAGCAAACAGG
Molecule: ribosomal RNA, 253 nt
Filed under: uncultured bacterium
Lineage: Bacteria
Description: partial 16S ribosomal RNA
Rfam family: Bacterial small subunit ribosomal RNA
Source: RNAcentral